Molecule: ribosomal RNA, 1089 nt
Filed under: Salmonella enterica subsp. enterica
Lineage: Bacteria; Pseudomonadati; Pseudomonadota; Gammaproteobacteria; Enterobacterales; Enterobacteriaceae
Also listed under: 1 other name
Description: bacterial SSU rRNA
Rfam family: Bacterial small subunit ribosomal RNA
Source: RNAcentral
AAAUUGAAGAGUUUGAUCAUGGCUCAGAUUGAACGCUGGCGGCAGGCCUAACACAUGCAAGUCGAACGGUAGCACAGAGAGCUUGCUCUCGGGUGACGAGUGGCGGACGGGUGAGUAAUGUCUGGGAAACUGCCCGAUGGAGGGGGAUAACUACUGGAAACGGUAGCUAAUACCGCAUAACGUCGCAAGACCAAAGUGGGGGACCUUCGGGCCUCACACCAUCGGAUGUGCCCAGAUGGGAUUAGCUAGUAGGUGGGGUAACGGCUCACCUAGGCGACGAUCCCUAGCUGGUCUGAGAGGAUGACCAGCCACACUGGAACUGAGACACGGUCCAGACUCCUACGGGAGGCAGCAGUGGGGAAUAUUGCACAAUGGGCGCAAGCCUGAUGCAGCCAUGCCGCGUGUAUGAAGAAGGCCUUCGGGUUGUAAAGUACUUUCAGCGAGGAGGAAGGCGUUGUGGUUAAUAACCACAGCGAUUGACGUUACUCGCAGAAGAAGCACCGGCUAACUCCGUGCCAGCAGCCGCGGUAAUACGGAGGGUGCAAGCGUUAAUCGGAAUUACUGGGCGUAAAGCGCACGCAGGCGGUUUGUUAAGUCAGAUGUGAAAUCCCCGGGCUCAACCUGGGAACUGCAUUUGAAACUGGCAAGCUUGAGUCUCGUAGAGGGGGGUAGAAUUCCAGGUGUAGCGGUGAAAUGCGUAGAGAUCUGGAGGAAUACCGGUGGCGAAGGCGGCCCCCUGGACAAAGACUGACGCUCAGGUGCGAAAGCGUGGGGAGCAAACAGGAUUAGAUACCCUGGUAGUCCACGCCGUAAACGAUGUCUACUUGGAGGUUGUGCCCUUGAGGCGUGGCUUCCGGAGCUAACGCGUUAAGUAGACCGCCUGGGGAGUACGGCCGCAAGGUUAAAACUCAAAUGAAUUGACGGGGGCCCGCACAAGCGGUGGAGCAUGUGGUUUAAUUCGAUGCAACGCGAAGAACCUUACCUGGUCUUGACAUCCACGGAAGUUUUCAGAGAUGAGAAUGUGCCUUCGGGAACCGUGAGACAGGUGCUGCAUGGCUGUCGUCAGCUCGUGUUGUGAAAUGUUGGGUU